GACGGGAGGUGCAAGUCCUUGUCAGCAUGACUGGGCGUAAAGGGUGUGUAGGUGGUGAUGAAAGUUGUAUUGGUCGUGAAAAAUGUAGAGUGGUAUCCCUCAUACAAUACUUCAUCGCUAGAGUAAUGUAGGUGGUAGUGGAAUCACAGAGUCGUUGCACGGAAGUGCCCAAACGAGUGGGAACGCUAAUAGGUGUAGACGUAUACCAAUACAUUACUGACGCUGAGGCACAAAGGCAUGGGUAUCAAAUGAG
RNAcentral lists this unclassified non-coding RNA (253 nucleotides) under uncultured bacterium. RNAcentral's name for it is "contains 16S-23S intergenic spacer region". It matches the Rfam family "Bacterial small subunit ribosomal RNA", at positions 524 to 776 of the family's 1533-position model. The record is from RNAcentral.